AGAAGUGCGAAUGCUGACAUAAGUAACGAUAAAGCGGGUGAAAAGCCCGCUCGCCGGAAGACCAAGGGUUCCUGUCCAACGUUAAUCGGGGCAGGGUGAGUCGACCCCUAAGGCGAGGCCGAAAGGCGUAGUCGAUGGGAAACAGGUUAAUAUUCCUGUACUUGGUGUUACUGCGAAGGGGGGACGGAGAAGGCUAUGUUGGCCGGGCGACGGUUGUCCCGGUUUAAGCGUGUAGGCUGGUUUUCCAGGCAAAUCCGGAAAAUCAAGGCUGAGGCGUGAUGACGAGGCACUACGGUGCUGAAGCAACAAAUGCCCUGCUUCCAGGAAAAGCCUCUAAGCAUCAGGUAACAUCAAAUCGUACCCCAAACCGACACAGGUGGUCAGGUAGAGAAUACCAAGGCGCUUGAGAGAACUCGGGUGAAGGAACUAGGCAAAAUGGUGCCGUAACUUCGGGAGAAGGCACGCUGAUAUGUAGGUGAAGUCCCUCGCGGAUGGAGCUGAAAUCAGUCGAAGAUACCAGCUGGCUGCAACUGUUUAUUAAAAACACAGCACUGUGCAAAC
RNAcentral lists this ribosomal RNA (561 nucleotides) under Escherichia coli. RNAcentral describes it as "bacterial LSU rRNA". It matches the Rfam family "Bacterial large subunit ribosomal RNA", at positions 1284 to 1830 of the family's 2925-position model. Lineage: Bacteria; Pseudomonadati; Pseudomonadota; Gammaproteobacteria; Enterobacterales; Enterobacteriaceae. The record is from RNAcentral.